AAAGAAUAUAUACAUUUCAUUUUAAAAAUAAAAGAUGUUUACUGUGUUUGCACAGGCUUAUGCAAACCGAGGAAACCUUUGGAAGAACUCGAGA
Xenia sp. Carnegie-2017 is the source of this 94-nucleotide long non-coding RNA. RefSeq lists it as uncharacterized. Lineage: Eukaryota; Metazoa; Cnidaria; Anthozoa; Malacalcyonacea; Xeniidae. The record is from RefSeq and is a predicted model, not a curated record. The transcript has 4 exons.